UUCCGGUUGAUCCUGCCGGACCUGACUGCUAUCGGAUUGAUACUAAGCCAUGCGAGUCAUUGUAGCAAUACAAGGCAUACGGCUCAGUAACGCGUAGUCAACCUACCCUAUGGACGGGGAUAAUCUCGGGAAACUGAGCAUAAUACCCGGCAGACCACUUCUCCUGGAAUGGUUAGUGGUUAAAAUGAUUCGUCGCCAUAGGAUGGGACUGCGGCCUAUCAGCUUGUUGGUGAGGUAAUGGCCCACCAAGGCGAUUACAGGUACGGGCUCUGAGAGGAGAAGCCCGGAGAUGGGUACUGAGACAAGGACCCAGGCCCUAUGGGGCGCAGCAGGCGAGAAAACUUUGCAAUGUGCGAAAGCACGACAAAGUUAAUCCGAGUGAUUUCUGCUAAAGGAAUCUUUUGUUAGUUCUAAAAAUACUAGUGAAUAAGGGGUGGGCAAGUUCUGGUGUCAGCCGCCGCGGUAAAACCAGCACCUCAAGUGGUCAGGAGGAUUAUUGGGCCU
Molecule: ribosomal RNA, 504 nt
Filed under: uncultured marine group I thaumarchaeote
Lineage: Archaea; Thermoproteati; Nitrososphaerota
Description: bacterial SSU rRNA
Rfam family: Archaeal small subunit ribosomal RNA
Source: RNAcentral